UCAGAAAUAUUGAUGUAGGAGCCUCUCC
Molecule: non-coding RNA, 28 nt
Filed under: Rattus norvegicus (Norway rat)
Lineage: Eukaryota; Metazoa; Chordata; Mammalia; Rodentia; Muridae
Source: RNAcentral